Cinara cedri is the source of this 749-nucleotide non-coding RNA. The record is from the annotation of a GenBank genome assembly. NCBI's taxonomy places the organism in Eukaryota, Metazoa, Arthropoda, Insecta, Hemiptera, Aphididae.
CGGAUUUUUGUUUUUCAAUAUUCUCUCCGGUCGCUCAGAGUUAUUCGCUUUAUUCGCGCAAACAAAAAUUUCACUCUCAUUGGCACCACGAGAGAAAAAAUAUAUUUUUCUUUUUUGCUUUACCACAUUAAUAAAUAAUGUGUAUACGUUUAUGAUGUAGGAAAAUCAAAUAUAAUUAAAAGCAUUAUACCUAACCUGUACAGGGCUAUUCACUAGGCGUGCUCACACCAUUGUUUUAGUUAAAUUUUGCAUGUAUUCAAAUUUUUAUUUUUGAAAUUUUCAAAUGUAUAUUCAAGCCGAUAUUUUAAAAACACUAAGAUUUUUUACAUUUCCUGUGACGAGAUGUUCAAUUUUUAAAUUUAAGUAGCCGAAAAUUAGUGGGGUAUUAUUUGUAUAGCGGCACAGCGAGUAAUGUUUUAUUAGUGCGUCACAAUUCUCCCCCUAUCUAUACUUAAAAGUGGAAUACCUCGUCAACGGGUUGACGAAAAUCAAAAAUUUGAACACCAACAAUUAUUUAAACUAAUACUCCGUAUAUUUAUGAAGUUUUUAGUAUAGGUUCUUAUUUGAAAAAUCAAAGUUGGGAUCGCCACAGGAUACUGCUUAAAAUGUUGUGAAAAAUCUGAGAAUUCGAAAAUAUCAACUUUAACUACACUUGAAAAUUACAUAAAUCAGAAUUUGAAUGUACACAAAAUUUAACAAAAAAACCGGGUGAGAACGAUUAGUGAAUAGUUCUGUAUAGACUAUAGCUA